Molecule: ribosomal RNA, 531 nt
Filed under: uncultured bacterium
Lineage: Bacteria
Description: bacterial SSU rRNA
Rfam family: Bacterial small subunit ribosomal RNA
Source: RNAcentral
UGGGGAAUAUUGCACAAUGGGCGCAAGCCUGAUGCAGCGACGCCGCGUGGGGGAUGACGGCCUUCGGGUUGUAAACUCCUUUCGCCAGGGACGAAGCGUUUUGUGACGGUACCUGGAGAAGAAGCACCGGCUAACUACGUGCCAGCAGCCGCGGUAAUACGUAGGGUGCAAGCGUUGUCCGGAAUUACUGGGCGUAAAGAGCUCGUAGGUGGUUUGUCACGUCGUCUGUGAAAUUCCACAGCUUAACUGUGGGCGUGCAGGCGAUACGGGCUGACUUGAGCACUGUAGGGGUAACUGGAAUUCCUGGUGUAGCGGUGAAAUGCGCAGAUAUCAGGAGGAACACCGAUGGCGAAGGCAGGUUACUGGGCAGUUACUGACGCUGAGGAGCGAAAGCAUGGGUAGCAAACAGGAUUAGAUACCCUGGUAGUCCAUGCCGUAAACGGUGGGCGCUAGGUGUAGGGGCCUUUUGGGGUUUCUGUGCCGUAGCUAACGCAUUAAGCGCCCCGCCUGGGGAGUACGGCCGCAAGGCUA